CAGUGUACAUCAUGGUGAUCAGAUGGCAUGAGGAUCAGGAGAAAUGGAGCCCAUGGCCAGUGUGAGGUGUAGCAGUGCAGGAGGGCAGACCCUGAAGGAGGAAGCCCACCUAAAUUGAUACCUGCAGACUGAAUUUCCAGAGGCUUUUUUUUUUUUUUUAGGAGGAGGCAGUUCUCCA
Molecule: long non-coding RNA, 178 nt
Organism: Loxodonta africana (African savanna elephant)
Lineage: Eukaryota; Metazoa; Chordata; Mammalia; Proboscidea; Elephantidae
Rfam family: Nuclear enriched abundant transcript 1 conserved region 3
Source: Rfam